GUGUGUGUGUCAACAGCUUCGUGCGAAAACACUUUCCACAGCUCGUGAUCCUGGUGAGUGACCCUCCACAGAUGCCGGCCCUCAAGCUAUCCCCACUCUCUGUGAUAUUUGUGUCUCCGCGCAUUCCAGUUUCCCCAUACGUGCAAAAGUGCUUGUGAUCAGAGGAUUUUGCCAAAUGCACCAAGUAAAACACUUCUGAAGGUCAUCAUUACCUGCCUUGGUCAAACUACUGCUGGAUGAAUACCUCCCCUAAGCCAUUGAAAUUUCUCAUGAUUGCGAAAUUGUAAUAACCCACCUAGCACCUGCCCAUGAACAACUGUUAGAUGGGUUCCAUCUCAUUGCUGCAUUCUUGAUCAUCAGCCAUUAACCCUUAUAAUGACGUGUCCUGCCCGAGCCCACUUAAGUUUCUUAACUGUUUGUAUAAGAGUUCACUUAAGAAAAGGUUACGUGCAGUUUACAGAUGACACAGAGGAACAUGAGCAGCUGUUAAAUGUCAUUAUCUGUUUUUUGUUUUUGUCCUGCUGGCGGUUAUCAACAUCAUCACUUAUUGCUUCAAUCAUCUAUCUCUAACACCAUCUUUGACUAUCUUCGUCACACAUCUACCAUCAUUACCACAAUCAUCACUAUCAUCAUCAUUGCCACAAACACCACCACUAUUGCCGUCAUCUUCAUCCUGACCGCCAACAUCAUAAUGUAAUUUCAUCAUCACCAUGAUCCCUUUCACCAUAACUACUACUACCACAACAAUCAUUACCAUCUUUACCAUUAUCUUCAUCACCACGACUACUGUUACCAUAAUCAUGCUCACCACUAUAAUCAAUCACAAUCAUUAUCGCCAUGAUCUAUACCACUUUUUACAACCACUACCUUCACCAUUGUCACCAUCAGGAUGGGCAGAUGCUUACGCAGCUGCGAAGUUCUACGCCUGCGGUGCCCUCCACGCCUGCGGUGGUGCACAGAAUUGCGGAGAACAGCUGGCAGUUCCAGCAGUGUGCGAACACCCUCAUGGAACUGAACUGAGCAGGCGUCCGCCGCAGAUUGCUGGCGAUCUCGGCACACGUUCUCCUACCAACCCUUUCCUCCACAACCCUUGUAC
This is a long non-coding RNA of Petromyzon marinus (sea lamprey), 1096 nucleotides long. RefSeq lists it as uncharacterized. Lineage: Eukaryota; Metazoa; Chordata; Hyperoartia; Petromyzontiformes; Petromyzontidae. The record is from RefSeq and is a predicted model, not a curated record.